Long non-coding RNA from Passer domesticus (house sparrow), 1022 nucleotides. RefSeq lists it as uncharacterized. The transcript has 3 exons. The record is from RefSeq and is a predicted model, not a curated record. NCBI's taxonomy places the organism in Eukaryota, Metazoa, Chordata, Aves, Passeriformes, Passeridae.
CAUGCUGGUGUCAACCCUCACAUGGAAUGACCAGAGCAGAGAUGUGGCCUCAUAACUUUCUUCAGCUAUGUGAAACUUAACUCAUGGGUUAAGCUGAGGGUGCCUGCCUUUCCCUGCUGCCUACUCCUAAGUUUCAGAUAGGUGAUGCUAAGAGCAGCAAAUCCUUCUCCUGGCAAGUAGUAGCUCUUACUUUGCAAACAAGCAUUUGUAUACCCCAGGGCAGCCCUUGGGCAACCAUCUUUUCACCCCAAUGACCAGCUGGGCUUACUGAAGACAACUCAGGCAGGACACAAUAAAAACAGCUUAGCCCUCACUCUGCUCUGGCAGCCCUCUUGGGGGUCAGGCUCUAUGUAGGCAGCUGAAUCAGCCUUAGAAAUAAAGAAACUGGAAAGCACUCAAGAGGCACUAUCUGCUCUUCUGAAUGGAAAAUAAAGACCUUAUUCCCAGGAUGCCAGAUGGAUGGAAAAAUGGAUACAGACAUUAAGAACUCCAAAUGGGAAGAAGUUCAUCAAGGGAAGAUGAGCAUCCACUUGUUUGCCCACCACAGAUGCUGCAAUGGCGUGUCCUGGUGAAGAAGUUGUGUGGAGUCAUGGCUGGCAGUCUGCAUAUGGGCACCACCCCAGCCAAGGCACCAGAAACCAGGUGGGUUAGCCGUGCUGUUAUACAACUGGUGCUCCUCCAAGGAGGAUUCAGAGAGCCUUUGGUGGGGGACACAGCAGGAGAGAGCUUUGCAAAAGGCCUUAUGCAAAAAUACAGCUGGAGCACAGGGCAUCCAAGAGCCCUCAAUGAACUUCACUUGGCCUUUAAGUACACAUGGAGAUCAGUGCCUUGAUGGCAACCCCAAAAUAAAAGGCAAGUGGUGUUUUUUAUAUGUGCAGCUUAGGUUAUUUUCCCCAUGGAUUCAUUUUCAGCCAGCAAUACCCAAGUGACUGCUCAGGAAAGCUUUCUGCCCCACCUACCUCAAACAUUCUAGCUUCAUUUCAGUCAUAAGUGUAAGCAUUUCCUCCAGUUAUAUGAGUUCA